This 274-nucleotide long non-coding RNA is filed under the name Elaeis guineensis (African oil palm). RNAcentral's name for it is "long non-coding RNA (EGUI_LNC045043)". The record is from RNAcentral. Lineage: Eukaryota; Viridiplantae; Streptophyta; Magnoliopsida; Arecales; Arecaceae.
GGAUUCGGAGUAGACCGCUCAUUGUAAGAGUUCGGGGUAGACCGUUCAUAGUAGAAGUUCGGCUCUCACAGGAGUCCGAUCAGAAUCUUGAAGGUGGUCGACCGUCGUAGAAACUUGGAUGGAGUCUGAUUACCAUAGAAAUCUCGUUGUCAAAGAAGCUCGGAUAUUGGUGGAGUCUGGAAGAAGUUCGGAGAAUAGUUGAUCACUGUAUAAGGUCGGCUGGUGGUGAGGCCCAGAGAGCUUUUGGGGUGGCCCAGUAGAUGAAUGCAGAAGU